Molecule: unclassified non-coding RNA, 92 nt
Organism: Cricetulus griseus (Chinese hamster)
Lineage: Eukaryota; Metazoa; Chordata; Mammalia; Rodentia; Cricetidae
Gene: 7SK
Rfam family: 7SK RNA
About the family: 7SK was discovered as an abundant small nuclear RNA in the mid-70s but a possible function has only recently been suggested. Two independent studies have found that 7SK RNA binds the CDK9/cyclin T complex (known as elongation factor P-TEFb). P-TEFb activates transcription by phosphorylating the C-terminal domain of RNA polymerase II.
Source: Ensembl
AGAAUGAUCUGGAUGUGAUAUAUGUCUACCCAUUGAUGGCCAUAGUUGAUGGGGCUGAUCUGUGUGGCUAGGUGGGUGUUUCUUACCCCUCU